AAAAGAGCUGUGAAUCAUGCUCUGUGUGAGCACAUGUGGUCAAUCUCACCAGUCAGCCACACAGGAAACACGAGGAGCCGAUGGAGAAAAGACAGCUAUAGAUCAUUGAGCAUUUGCAAGAAAGACGUAUGUGUUCUUAACAGUUCUCCAGCCUGGAUCAUGCAAAAUGCACACCAAAAGAACAACAUUCAUGUUGUUAUUUUCUGCAAGGCGUUAAAAGUUACUCGUGACCACUGCAGCAAAGAGAAGACAUCUGCUUAAAUUCAUCUUCACAAUCUUAAGACAUAAACAAGGAACAUGAGUUUCUUUAGAAACCACACAGACGCUGUAAAACUGCAUUCUGGACACCUGACUCAGAUCCAGAGGAGCUGUGAUGUUGCAUAAUCAGGAUUUCUAAGUUUGAUGUCUACUAAAGCUUUCAUGAAACAAAUAAAUAAUCCCCAGAUCAAAGCUGGGAAAAAAAGGUUGUGCAUGAUGUGAGUUCUGAGCUUAAGGCGAAUGCUUACAUAACGUCAGAUCAAAUGCAGAAUAUAGAAAUCAACAUUAGAGGAAAAGUGGAGGCCCAAGAAAUUGAAGUAAUUCUUGUAAUUUUAUAUUUAAACAAAAAUGAAAUAAGAACUAGUACAACUUUUUUUAAUUUUCUCUUUUUUAGAAUGCAAAUAUACAAAGCUGCAUUAUCAUGAUUUGGGUUUCAUAAUUAAUUUAAUAUUUGCUGUCUUACAAAUUAUUUUUAAUGUGCUGUAUGAGGUGAAAUAAAAUGACCAUUAAGCUAACUUGAUUCCUAACAAUUCUGAACAUAUUGAUUUAAUAUGCUUAACCGUUUUAGGCUAAACUUUCUUUACAAACAUCACCCUGUAUUAAAAUGACAGGAUUAGGUAGAAGGUCCAGUAAAAGAAGGCAGGAUAAGAGAAUAAAUACCUUGCAUGUUUUGUUCGGUGUCACCUAUAAUUCACUCUCCAAAAGGUCAUUUUUCAAUGCCUGUAGGUCAGUGUCUCAGAAGAUUUAACCCUACGUAUAACAUUGAUGUCACUAGAUGUCACCAGUAAAUACUGGGCUAAUAUGGUCUUUAUCAAAUAGAUAGUUAAACAAUUGAAGUAGAAAAUCUGCUGACUUGUUUGCCUGCUAGUUAGUUAUAAAUAAAGUUAUGAAGUCAAAGAGUCAAAAUUCUAUUCUCAGUCUAAUCAGAAUACUUACCUGUUUUACUGCAAGAGCACUAGAAUUUAAAUUUAACAUCUCAAAAUAUGGUCUAGUGUCUUUUUUGUAAAUCUGUAAACCAAAUUUAAAAAAAGCUUCAUGUUAUUUUUUCAUUUGACCAAACAAGAUAAAAAAUGUCAUCAUCAACUGUUCAGUUCUGCCAAGAUUCAGGAAAUAUUUUAAUUUUACACAGUUGCAUAAUGUAUUUAUAUUUUUAAUGUUCACACAUCUUUAAAAAAUACAGAAUCAAUUACUUGUUGUGUUCCAAAUUAAUGAAUGCACUAUAAAGAUAUUUAACCUUUUUACAGAGGUAUUUCUGAAGGGGUAUUGAUGGUUGUCACUUGACUUCAGUCUAAAUGAAACGCCCCCUGGUGGGCAGAAAGCUACAGUUGUCCUGUACACACCAGUUUCAUUAGUUGAAAACGAAACUGCCGAAGAGCUUUUGCAAAAUCAAAAUGUACAAUUCUCAUAGAAGACAAACUAGGGUAUUUUUAUAGGUUAUAGUCUGAGAAUGAACCUGGAAAAUUAAAUGAAUUUAGACUGGCAUUUGUGAAAACCUUGUGGUCUUGAGUUGUACCAGAGGGAAAUCAGUUGAUAGCUGCACCUUCAACAAGUAGCUAAUUAUUGAUAAGAGGAAGUAAAUCAAGGUGCAUUACUUCUCCGUGAUUGUCAUAUCGUAAUAGUUUUUGAGACAUUUGCUGUUAGUAAAUGCUUUUAGCGCCCUGCUAAUAGACAUUUUUUUCAUUAGUGUCUCUACUUCACAUUAGUGUCAAGUUUAGGACUUAUAUCCAGAAGGUUUUUUUUUAGGCUGAUGUAAAUUCGCUUCAUUCAGUAGCGGUUUCAGGCACGGGCAAAAUGGACAAUUGCCCGGGGCGCAAAUUUCAAUGGGGGCUUUCAGCCUGGAACUUCCGUUUGGGGUCCUUCCGACUGAAGGCAACACUACAGUAACCCCACUUGGACAAACUACGUAGGUUCGAGAUCUGCUCGGGCUCAACAAAUUUUCAUUUCUCGAUCCCUUUUUUAACCUAAAGUUAUUUUCCCUCAUGAAUUGUGUCUGACAAUUCAUGCAUUUCUGUAAAAUAUUCAAAUAAAGAUAGGGAAUACAAAAUGAUGGCGUUAAAUUUGUGUGUGCGGGGGGGUUACUCGCCCGGGGAGUAAGUUGGUGUAGAACCGCCACUGGCUGCAUUGCCUGCACAUAUUUUAAGUGCGUCCAAGGUUGAAUUUUGUUGUUGGUCGCACGUAUUUAAAGUUAAACUCAAUGCCCGAUUAGUUUUCACGCUUCUAGGUGCGUGAAAUGUCUUCUCCACACUUGAUCCAUCGCCUGGAGGAGCGUUGAGCAGCAAAAACAGCCUCACUCAGGAACCAUUUGGAUGUUUAACCCUAACUGUAACCGUAAUCCUAACCUUAACCCAUUCACUGGGUCUGUGCAGCCAAGAAAAAGUUCAGUAUUUCAAAAAUCAUGUGCGAAGAGACUGAUAUGGUGCCGCUGUCAGACUCCUCCCCCUCUCCUCUCCACUUGGCUGUUUCUCCAUCCCAGCUGCUGCCACUUACUUCAUCAUCUCUUCUGCCUUCAUAAGGAGCCUCUGGAUCACCAGUUUUCGCCAGUUCGUUGCCCCUGAUGGGAUCCAUUGUCACAAGUGGUCGCCUGCAUCAACCUCUGUCUGGAACCUUCCCUCCGUUCGCUCCUGCUGGUCCCACCUCGAGCCUCUGCCGUCUUCUGCCAUCUCUUGGACCCCCUCCGGCGUCAACUCCUUCCGACUGCCUGCAGAAAGAUCCAGCAGUGACGCCACUCGAGUUCGAUCUUCACUCUCUGGGAACCCUAGAUCCUGCCCACGGUUUUCUGUCUGUUCACUAUUAAAACCUCUUACCUGCCACGCUCGUCCUCCUCUGUGUUUCUUCUGGGUUCCAGCGUCUGGGUCGAAAAGUGUUCUGUAGCCAUGACAGAGACAUUUUCCUUUUCUUUUCUUUUUAAUCACACCAACAUAUUAAAAAGUUAAACAGGUUGUCAGGGAUCUCACAGCCUCUGCUUUUACAAAGACGAUUUUUUUACUUGCUCUUUACUUGUCUUUUUUAUUGCAGUUUUGUUCCAUACUAAUUAAACACAAGUGAAGUCUU
Oryzias latipes (Japanese medaka) is the source of this 3309-nucleotide non-coding RNA. The record is from RefSeq and is a predicted model, not a curated record. NCBI's taxonomy places the organism in Eukaryota, Metazoa, Chordata, Actinopteri, Beloniformes, Adrianichthyidae.